GCCAGGGAGGCAUAGUGGUUCAAGCGUUGAAUUAUGACUUUGGAGACCAGGGUUCGAUUCCUUGCUUGGCC
Molecule: non-coding RNA, 71 nt
Organism: Phrynosoma platyrhinos (Desert horned lizard)
Lineage: Eukaryota; Metazoa; Chordata; Lepidosauria; Squamata; Phrynosomatidae
Source: the annotation of a GenBank genome assembly